AUUGAACGCUGGCGGCAUGCCUUACACAUGCAAGUCGAACGGCAGCGGGCCUUCGGGUGCCGGCGAGUGGCGAACGGGUGAGUAAUGCAUCGGAACGUGCCAUUGAGUGGGGGAUAACGUAGCGAAAGUUGCGCUAAUACCGCAUAUUCUGUGAGCAGGAAAGCAGGGGACCGCAAGGCCUUGCGCUCUUUGAGCGGCCGAUGUCAGAUUAGCUAGUGUAGGGUAAAGGCCUACCAAGGCCACGAUCGGUAGCUGGUCUGAGAGGAUGAUCAGCCACACUGGCACUGGAACACGGGCCAGACUCCUACGGGAGGCAGCAGUGAGGAAUAUUGGGCAAUGGGCGAAAGCCUGACCCAGCCACGCCGCGUGAGUGAUGAAGGCCCUCGGGUCGUAAAGCUCUGUGGAGAGGGACGAAAACCCUGGUUUCAAAUAGGCUCCAGGCUUGACGGUACCUCUUUAGCAAGCACCGGCUAACU
This 476-nucleotide ribosomal RNA is filed under the name uncultured bacterium. RNAcentral's name for it is "bacterial SSU rRNA". It matches the Rfam family "Bacterial small subunit ribosomal RNA", at positions 30 to 502 of the family's 1533-position model. The record is from RNAcentral.